Long non-coding RNA from Suricata suricatta (meerkat), 364 nucleotides. RefSeq lists it as uncharacterized. The record is from RefSeq and is a predicted model, not a curated record. The transcript is spliced from 4 exons. Lineage: Eukaryota; Metazoa; Chordata; Mammalia; Carnivora; Herpestidae.
CACUGGUGCAGUGGAAUGUCAAGCUAGUUAAGAACUACAAAGGAAAAUAUUUUAGUAAAGAAUCAUUUGACAAUCUAGGAUUAGGCAUCUGCAAUGCACCUCUGUUUUCAGUAAGGACUGAUGUUCAAAGAAGGCUUAUUGACUACUGUGUGCCGAGCCCUACACUAGGGACUGAGAUAGAAUAAUGAGCAAAACUGAAGGAAGCAGACAGAUACAACUUCAGAACAUUAUGGAUUUUGCCACUUAAUUUUACAGGUAGUUUGAAGGCCAACUUCAUCGACUUCUAGAAUUGCUUUCAGGUCAAUAAUUAAACCAUGAAGAGAUUUUUAAACAGACUCGGUUGUAAACGGUUUUGAAGUGUCUA